Molecule: ribosomal RNA, 253 nt
Filed under: uncultured bacterium
Lineage: Bacteria
Description: partial 16S ribosomal RNA
Rfam family: Bacterial small subunit ribosomal RNA
Source: RNAcentral
UACGUAGGGUCCGAGCGUUGUCCGGAAUUAUUGGGCGUAAAGAGCUCGUAGGCGGUUUGUCGCGUCUGCUGUGAAAUCCCGAGGCUCAACCUCGGGUCUGCAGUGGGUACGGGCAGACUGGAGUGCGGUAGAGGAGAGUGGAAUUCCUGGUGUAGCGGUGAAAUGCGCAGAUAUCAGGAAGAACACCCGUGGCUAAGGCGGCUCUCUAGUACGGUACUGACGCUGAGACGCGAAAGCGUGGGGAGCGAACAGG